RNAcentral lists this ribosomal RNA (253 nucleotides) under uncultured bacterium. Its description in RNAcentral is "partial 16S ribosomal RNA". It matches the Rfam family "Bacterial small subunit ribosomal RNA", at positions 524 to 776 of the family's 1533-position model. The record is from RNAcentral.
UACAGAGGUCCCAAGCGUUGUUCGGAUUCACUGGGCGUAAAGGGUGCGUAGGCGGUGGGGUAAGUCGGAUGUGAAAUCUCCGAGCUCAACUCGGAAAUGGCAUUGGAAACUACCCUGCUAGAGGGUCGGAGGGGGGACUGGAAUGCUUGGUGUAGCAGUGAAAUGCGUAGAUAUCAAGCGGAACACCAGUGGCGAAGGCGAGUCCCUGGACGACUCCUGACACUGAGGCACGAAAGCUAGGGGAGCAAACAGG